GUCCCCGGCGUCCGGGCGCCCUGCAUGGAUCCCCCACCCCAGCUCCUGCUCCCCGGCGGCGGCCGGUGGGCAGAAAGACCGAAACCCACUCACGGCCGCCUGCCGAAUCGCGGCUCUGCUGUUUGUGGGGCGUGCUAGAAACGUGGUCCUAAAAAGAAUGGCGUCCAUUUACAUAAUGCUUUGUUUGCGUUUCGCAAGUUUCUUUCGGUUAAAGCCACAGAAACCCCACCUCCUGCCCUUGUGUCGUUUCCACCGCGGCACCCUUUUCCGACAUUAGAAACAAUAGUGUACGCCUGUGGAGGCCUCGUUUGUUCAGGGGCUGCCGGCCAGGGCUUCAGGACGUUUCUGCGGCUUUCCCCGCGCGGCCUGGGCUCCCGCGGCUGCUUUUCGGGCCCAUGGGCGCAGCCACUGCGCCAGGCUCAAGGGGGGCGGCCCCGUCAGGGCCCGCCAUCUUGGAAGGCCUUUUUUGCCGGUUCUUCCCGCUGAGGAAGUGUCGCUCAAGACGCUGGCCUAUGAGUUGUGAUUUCUGCCUUUUCCCCUUCCUCCUUGGGCUAAGCCAGACCAGAAAGGGCCCCGUGCGCAACGUGCUUCACAAUCUCUCAGGGAAAGCGGCUAACGUGGCGCUACUCCGCCUCCCCUGUUCCUUACCCUUGGGGCGGCCGCCAUGUUUCCUGAACACAAAAUGGCGACACGUGGUUAGCAUUCGUCGCCAACGAGAAAUUGGGGUCGGCCCGAAAGCUCUAGAAUGCACCCCUCUUCCUCCCCGGGGCCUUCCACCUCCGCGAGUUUUAUGACUUAAAAAAGCCCACAGGCUGGUCUGAAGGUCGGAGGCCUAAUUUUAACGCGUUUUCCUCCCUUUAAUUUGAAACGGGAACGCGAAUGACUGUAAAAUGUGGGCACAAUAUUUAAUCUCUCGCCUUUUUAAAGCUUAAUAGUGGAUAAUAGGGGGGCAGUAUCAAGGGAUAAUUUGGGUCCCCACAGUACCAAAGCAUUUAGAAACCUCUGUUUAAUUUAAGGAAUGAGAUAAGUUACUGCUUUUCUAGACUUCCUAGCAUGGGCUGUUGUGCUGGAGAGAACGAGAGCUACGAAGAGACUACAGUGCCUCUGACUUUUUCAUAGGACAGUUGGCCGAGGAAGACAAACAUAAAGAUGAAGUGCUUAAUUCAAGGUCACACAAUGUCGGGGAUGGACCUCCAGAUUUCCUUACUGGUGAGACGUGGUCUUGUAACACAGUGGUUAAGAAUGUGACUUUGGAGCCAGCCUGCUAGGGGCUGAAUUCUGACUCAGCCAUUUACUAACUGUGUGACCUUAGGGAGGAGGACCUGGUUGAUAGAAGAAUUUAUCUCGUAGUCUUAACAUCCACUGUAAUUCCAAACUUUGAGGACGAUAGAGAUCAGUGGGCUUUGACUGCCCAGCAUGCAGUCUCCAUUCUUAGGUGGGUUCCCAAGCCUGUAAAAUGUAAGCCUUAUGCUGCUGAGGGCCAUCUUGCCACCCUGAGGGAAACGCUGCCUGAGAAUGAAACAAGCAUAAGUAAAAGCUGAGCUGUGAGAUGGAGCAAGAUGAAGGCCACAUGACAUCUUUGGAGCACCUGGAUCUAACUGUGCCUUAAGCUAGUCUAACCCUGAACAUUUCAUCAUUUCAUUGACAUGAGCCCAGGUUUUCUUUUUUUUUGGAUGGAGUCUUGCUCUGUCGCCCAGGCUGGAGUGCAGUAGCUCAAUCUCGGCUCACUGCAAGCUCCACCUCCCGGGUUCACGCCAUUCUCCUGCCUUAGCCUCCCAAGUAGCUGGGACAACAGGCGCCCACCACCACUCCCAGCUAAUUUUUUGUAUUUUUAGUAGAGACGGGGUUUUACCAUGUUAGCCGGGAUGGUCUUGAUCUCCUGACCUCAUGAUCCGCCCGCCUCGGCCUCCCAAAGUGCUGGGAUUACAGGUGUGAGCCACUGCACCCAGCCCUCAGGUUUUCCCUUUUUUUACCCCUCCUUUUGAAAAUUUGAUGUGGAAUUUUGCCACCUGCAGCCAGAAGAGUUUUAACUAAUCAGUGCCAUAAAUUUUAUAUAGUUCUCCUUGCAAAAUGUGGAUCAGCCUUUCUCAGCAAAUCCUUUGUCAUAAAGUGCUGAAUUGUAAGUUUGUCAUGAGAAUCACAUGAGAUCAUGCAUGUGAAGAACCUGGCAUUAUCCUCCUCAUAGAAAAAAACCAGUAAAUAUUAACUACAGGAAGCAAGGAAGGAGUGGGGUGAGGGGAAGAAGAAGGGGUACUGAUUUAAAAGAACCCUGGAGUCCUAAGGAUAAUCUAGGAACCCUCAGACCCAAUCCGAUACCCCUAUUCUAAAUGCUCCUAGUGCCCUGUACCUUCCCCUCAUAAGCCUUCAUUAUCAUUGUAAUGAUAUGUUUAUGUAAUAUUUUGAUUAAUGUCUCUCCUUCACUGACCUAGCAGUUCUAGCAGGGCAGUGAUUUUGCUGUGUUGCAUCCCCAGCACCUAGUCUGGUAUGUGGCAUUCAGCAUAUGUUUAUUGAAUGAAUGGCCAUGUGGUUAUUCAGAUCCUCCUUGAUUAUUGGGGUUAGGAUUGUGGCAGAAGUGGCAAAAUCAGGGAGAGUAGUCCCUGUCCCCUCUGUAUCUUAUACACUGCCCACACUCCCAACACACAUACACAUACAGAGAAUUUUGUCUCAAUUAGAUAAUUAACUUCUGCUUGGUUGUAAACCAAACCACUGGUUCUUAAACUUUCAUUGGAUCAUUUUAUUGAAGAAUUAAAUAGUGUGGUUCUGGCCUAAUGUCUGGAAAGCCUUGCAGAGGAGUGGAUUAGGUCUUUGUGAUAAACAGGCAGCCUUCCCUGCUCCUGUGUCUUUAUAAAAUCUAUUUAACUGGAGUAGUCCACCCUCCCUCAGGCUCUUACAGGAAUAUGUUGGAGGCUGUAGGAAGGUGGGAAACCGAGAGGGAAAGGACUGGGCCGCUGGAGACUUCACUCAUUCCCUAGCAAGAAACAAAAGCAGUAAAAGGUGGCCCGAGGACAACCUGAAGCUCACUCCUUCAGCACUUUUGGCUGGAGGUCACUUGUUGGAGCCCCACUCAGAGCUCAGCACACCACCCCACCAGCAGCCUCCUCCUCCCAGCUGAGGCUGCAUUUCAUCCCUUCCCCCAGCCUGCUUUCCCUGAGAUAGGGGAGUGUUUCCCAGGGCCCAUGUGACUUCCACUGGCAAGUGACGAUUACCAAUGGUUUACUAGUCAGUGAAACUACCAAAGGCUUUUGUGCUGUAGUAAUCCUUUUCCUGUUUAAAACUCUGGGGAUUUUCUAAUGUUGCCAAUAGUUUUUCAAGUCAGCAAUUACUGUGUGGAUUAUGUAAUGGCUCGGUAUUAAAAAUAGAAAAGACUGGA
This 3370-nucleotide long non-coding RNA is filed under the name Homo sapiens (human). RNAcentral describes it as "PCBP1 antisense RNA 1, transcript variant 8 (PCBP1-AS1)". The record is from RNAcentral. Lineage: Eukaryota; Metazoa; Chordata; Mammalia; Primates; Hominidae.